Molecule: ribosomal RNA, 264 nt
Filed under: uncultured bacterium
Lineage: Bacteria
Description: partial 16S ribosomal RNA
Rfam family: Bacterial small subunit ribosomal RNA
Source: RNAcentral
GUCCACGCUGUAAACGAUUAGAACUGGCUGUGCGGUGGGGCAUACCUGCUGCGUAGCGAAGCUAACGCGUUAAGUUCUCCGCCUGGGGAGUACGGUCGCAAGAUUAAAACUCAAAGGAAUUGACGGGGGCCCGCACAAGCGGUGGAGCAUGUGGUUUAAUUCGAUGCAACGCGAAAACCUUACCUACCCUUGACAUCUAGCUAAUCUCGCUUAGGGGCGAGAGUGCCGAAAGGAGCGCUAAGACAGGUGCUGCAUGGCUGUCGU